Molecule: ribosomal RNA, 864 nt
Filed under: uncultured bacterium
Lineage: Bacteria
Description: bacterial SSU rRNA
Rfam family: Bacterial small subunit ribosomal RNA
Source: RNAcentral
UACGGAGGUGGCGAGCGUUACUCGGAUUUACUGGGCGUAAAGGGUGUGUAGGCGGCCUGAUAAGUCAGAUGUGAAAUCUUUCGGCUCAACCGAAAGACUGCGUCUGAAACUGUCAGGCUUGAGGACCGGAGAGGAGAGCGGAACUGCCGGUGUAGGGGUGAAAUCCUUAGAUAUCGGCAGGAACACCAGUGGCGAAGGCGGCUCUCUGGACGGUACCUGACGCUGAGGCACGAAAGCUAGGGGAGCAAACAGGAUUAGAUACCCUGGUAGUCCUAGCUGUAAACGAUGCGGACUAGGUGUUUCCGAUUUUCGGGAGUGCCGUAGCUAACGCGUUAAGUCCGCCGCCUGGGGACUACGGCCGCAAGGCUAAAACUCAAAGGAAUUGACGGGGGCCCGCACAACUGGUGGAACAUGUGGUUUAAUUCGACGAUACGCGAGGAACCUUACCAGGGCUUGACAUGCUAGUAGUACUGAACCGAAAGGGGAUGGAUCCCGCUUUGCGGGAAGCUAGCACAGGUGCUGCACGGCUGUCGUCAGCUCGUGCCGUGAGGUGUUGGGUUAAGUCCCGCAACGAGCGCAACCACCGCCCUUAGUUGCCACUCCUGGCUUGCCAGGAAGCACUCUAAGGGGACUGCCCCGGACAACGGGGAGGAAGGUGGGGAUGACGUCAAGUCAGUGUGGCCCUUACGUCCUGGGCGACACACGUGUUACAAUGGCCGGUACAAAGGGUCGCGAAACCGCGAGGUGGAGCCAAUCCCAAAAAGCCGGUCCCAGUUCGGAUUGGAGUCUGCAAUUCGACUCCAUGAAGCUAGAAUCAGUAGUAACCCCAUAUAAGUCACGGUGGGGUGAAUACGUUCCCGGGCC